This is a long non-coding RNA of Rhipicephalus microplus (southern cattle tick), 888 nucleotides long. The record is from RefSeq and is a predicted model, not a curated record. NCBI's taxonomy places the organism in Eukaryota, Metazoa, Arthropoda, Arachnida, Ixodida, Ixodidae.
UUUUCCGUCGGUGCGACACUCUCCGCAGCCCGUCGUGCUCACUCCUCGUUGUAUGCAGCGUUUCCGCGUGCGUCAACGACUGCCUCGCGUGCAUGUUUAAGGCAGCCUAGGUUUAACUGAGACGAUUUCAACGUUCUCUUCUAUAGUAUGUGCCUGUUUCGUCGACACAAGGAACCCGGCCUAAAGUGUGGUGAAGUGGAGCGCUACGGAAGUUUCCUCGUGUGAGCUCCACAAGGUUGUGCCCUCCCUGCGACCUGGGCCGCUGUUGCGGCGAGUGCCAGUCUGACCAUUUCGCUUGCGGACAUGAGUAGCCGCAAGGUGAAUCACAAAUACCAAAGAAAUGCUCCCGACAAGAACACCGGCAUGUGACGAGAGUCGUGCUUCGAAGUAGACACGCCAGUCGCACGCUACAGACUGGUGCUGUCCAGGUAUUCCAGCCGAGCAGCAUUCCCUGUGCGCAGCUAGGUCAAUUCUACGCGAGCCACCCCUGGCACCUCCACUUGUGCCUGACCGUGUCUGCGCUACGUGGCUUCUGGAGGAUCGACAUCGACUUGGUAUCGUCGUUUUGUACGACCUUUAGCGUCGUGUCAUUCGCACAUGGAACUCUCGGGCACUUGUCCCUCCUGCACUGACCUCAUCGCAGGUUAUAUACGCCAGAACACAGCGAGCUCAGUGCUUGCUGCUAUACUGAAAAGCGCGUGGCGCCAUCUGUUUCAAGUGCGGCUAAGCAACCCCCUCAACUGUCACGCGAGCAGACGCUCUGCAAAUCAUAUGCGAAACUUUACAAAUCGAGUGCGGCUGUAAGCAUGUCUUGCGCUGUUCCUUUGCUGAAAUUUUGUGCUUAUUUCGUGUGAAACGUCGAGGAGACCUUCCUCGACAGUCCGGAAU